This 159-nucleotide ribosomal RNA is filed under the name Fusarium sp. RNAcentral's name for it is "partial large subunit ribosomal RNA". It matches the Rfam family "Eukaryotic large subunit ribosomal RNA", at positions 99 to 261 of the family's 3401-position model. The record is from RNAcentral. Lineage: Eukaryota; Fungi; Ascomycota; Sordariomycetes; Hypocreales; Nectriaceae.
CGGCAACAGCUCAAAUUUGAAAUCUGGCCCUUGGGUCCGAAUUGUAAUUUGUAGAGGAUGAUUUUGGUGCGGUAUCUUCCGAGUUCCUUGGAACAGGACGCCUUAGAGGGUGAGAGCCCCGUACGGUUGAAUGCCUAGCCUCUGUAAAUCUCCUUCGAC